CCUGCCGGCGACCGGCGCACGGGUGAGUAACACGUAUGCGACCUGCCCCCCGCAGGGGAUAACCGGGAGAAAUCCCGACUAAUACCGCGUAACGCCGCGGACCUGCAUGGGUCUGCGGCCAAAGGAAGCGAUUCCGGCGGGGGAUGGGCAUGCGGCGCAUUAGCUAGUCGGCGGGGUAACGGCCCACCGAGGCGACGAUGCGUAGGGGUUCUGAGAGGAAGGUCCCCCACACUGGUACUGAGACACGGACCAGACUCCUACGGAAGGCAGCAG
Molecule: ribosomal RNA, 273 nt
Filed under: uncultured bacterium
Lineage: Bacteria
Description: partial 16S ribosomal RNA
Rfam family: Bacterial small subunit ribosomal RNA
Source: RNAcentral